AUAAUCUGAUUUACUGACAAGACCACAAUCUGACUGAGAAGAUGUGCUCCACAAACUCAGGCAACUGGGUCACAUUUGAUGAUGACCCCACUUUUCAGCCUUCUCAAAAGCCAACAAAUUUCCCUCUGGAGAAUCAAGGCAUCUGUCGGCCAAAUGGACUUAAGCUGAAUCUUUCUGGCCCUAAGGAAUUUCCCAGUGGAUCUUCCUCCACCAGCAGCACCCCGCUGUCCUCACCCAUUGUAGACUUUUACUUCAGUCCUGGACCACCUAGUAACUCUCCUCUUUCUACACCUACCAAAGACUUCCCAGGCUUUCCUGGCAUCCCCAAAGCAGGGACUCAUGUGCUUUAUCCUAUUCCUGAAGCAUCUGCAAAUAGCCCACUCACACCAGGAGCUGGUUCCCCAUUACUGCCCACCAAACCAUCUUGUUUCUCCCAGGCUUCCUUACCCAGCGGCAACUCAUACACACAUCCAGCUCCCAAAGUGGGCCUUCCAGAUGAAAUUAACCCUCCCCAAGCUGCAAACCAAGGAUUCCCAAGUGAAACCUCCCAGUUUCAGUAUUUUCAGGAGGACUGUGCUUUUUCAAGUCCGUUUUGGAAAGAUGAAGGCAGUAGUGCUUCCCAGCUCACCUUUGACCAUUCUGUAAGCAGAAAGACAUUCCUACCAAGAGAAAAAGACAUGCCUAUCGAUCAGAAAAGCCUAAACCAGUGUUCACUCAGCUAUAUCUGUGAGAAGCUUGAACAUCUUCAAUCAGCUGAGAACCAAGACUCACUGGAAAAUUUACCUAUGCAAUGUCUCUAUGCUAAAAACACUCCUUCGUCCUUUGUCCCUCAGAAGCUUUUCAGGAGCCCGACCCAAACGGGAUGGUCUUUCAUGCUGAGAAUUCCUGAGAAGAAGAAUAUGAUGUCUUCUCGCCAGUGGGGACCAAUUUUUCUAAAAGUUUUGCCUGGAGGAAUUUUGCAAAUGUAUUAUGAGAAGGGGUUAGAAAAACCAUUCAAGGAAUUACAGCUGGAUCCAUACUGUAGGCUUUCUGAACCCAAAAUUGAGAACUUCAGUGUGGCAGCAAAAAUCCAUACUGUGAAGAUUGAACAUGUGUCUUACUCAGAAAAAAGGAAAUACCAUUCUAAGACAGAAGUAGUUCAUGAACCGGAUGUAGAACAGAUGCUGAAGCUUGGGUCCACAGAGUAUCAGGACUUUUUGGACUUUCUGACCACUGUGGAGGAGGAGCUGAUGAAGUUACCAGCUGUUUCAAAACCAAAAAAGAUUUAUGAGGAACAAGAAAUUUCCCUGGAAAUUGUGGACAACUUUUGGGGUAAAAUCACUAAAGAAGGAAAACUGGUUGAAAGCACCGUAAUAACUCAAAUUUAUUGCCUCUGCUUUGUGAAUGGGAUGGCAGAGUGCUUCUUGACCUUGAAUGACCUUGAGCUGCAGAAGCGAGAUGAACGCUAUUUUGUGAAAGAUCCAGAAAAGAAGGGGAUUUAUAUCAUGGACUGUUAUUUUCAUAAGUGUGUAAAAGCACAUGAAUUUGAACAAUCAAGAGUCAUUAAGUUUGCGCCUCUAGAUGCCUGCCAUUUUGAGCUGAUGCGUUUCAUGACCUCCUACAGGGGGGAAGAUCUUCCUUUCUCCCUAAAAUCUGUCGUGGUUGUUCAGGGGGCUUAUGUGGAGCUUCAGGCUUUUGUCAACAUGAACCCAGUGGCUCAGAGACCAGGGCAUGCCACUUCCUUGAGGUGCUGUGACAAUGUGAUGAUACACUUUCCUGUGCCAUCACAGUGGAUCAAAGCCCUCUGGACCAUGAACCUCCAGCGGCAGAAGUCCUUGAAAGCCAAAAUGAACCGCAGAGCAUGUCUGGGAAGCCUCCAGGAACCUGGGUCUGAGCCUGUCAUCCAGGUCACUGUGGGGUCAGCGAAAUAUGAGAGUGCCUACCGGGCUGUAGUAUGGAAGAUAGACCGGCUUCCUGAUAAAAACUCAAGUCCUGAUCACCCUCACUGUUUGUCAUACAAACUAGAACUUGGAUCAGACCAAGAAAUUCCCUCUGAUUGGUAUCCAUUUGCCACUGUUCAGUUUGGGAUGCUUGACACCUGUGCCUCAGGGACAGAGGUCAGGUCUCUUGGGGUGGAGAGUGACAUUCAGCCCCAGAAACAUGUUCAUCAGCGAACGUGCUACAACAUCCAGGAUCUUGACUGUGUGGAUAUGUGAAGCAUUUGCCAGUGUCUUCCAGAGCAGUAUCUGUGGAGCACUCCUUUGGAAUUGCAGUGUCACUCUUAAAAUAGUUCACAACAUUCACCAUCCACUCUUCUGCAUUCUUGGGCCAGAUGAAUUGAAGAGUGACACAUGUUGAAAUAGAAAGAAAAUGGAUUAAGAUUGAUGGAGAAGACCCAGAGAAAGCUGGUGACUGCUUAACUCAGUAGGAGUCACAAGAAUAAAUUGAUGAAGAUUCACUUUUCAUUUGUGUGAUUCAUGGGAGCCACACACAGUUCUGCUACUGUACAGUAGAAAUGGUUUCUGAAUAAAAGGCCUCUGACAGGCUUCAGAGGCCAUUUUCGAGAACUUGGAAUCUAUAACCAAAUAACUAAAAUGAUCUCUAUUUUAUGCUCCAGAUGGUUGUGUCCCAGGGACUUUAUCUAAAAUAUGUUAAUAAUUUGCAUGAUGCUUUUGCUUUCUAUUGAGGCUUAAAGGUACUUUUUUUCAGUGAGUGACCUUUUAGCUGCUGGAGUACCUCAGUGCCACAGUGAUUACCCUCCGGUAGGUACCUUUUUCAUCUGUAUUAACGUCUAUACCGGAGGGUAAGUUAAUCAGAGGAAACAUAACCAACAUACUUACUUUUUUGUCUUCCUCAUCUUGGAAACAUGACUAGCUGAGGAUGAAAUGGAUGAUAUUGAAAUCACAAGCCACAAUGAAGAUGUGGAAAUAUUCAUCAUUUUGAAUUCUUUUUUAAAAAUAUUUUUAUUUAUUAUUGGGUAGAGGCAGAGAGAAACUGAGAGGGAAGGAAAAGGGAGAGAGACAGGGAGAUGCCUGCAGCCUUGCUUCACCCCUCAUGAAGCUUCCCCCGCUGCAGGUGGGGACCAGGGACUUGAACCUGGAUCUUUGUGCUUGGCCCAAUUUUGAAUUUUUUUUUUUAUCUUCCUGUCCUUUUAAUAGCCUUCUGGUUAUUAAUCAUUGACUAUAUUUGGUACCUGUUUCCCCCACUCUAUUACCAUUUCAGAAUGUAUUUGUGCUGUGCUAUGUGCUACAAAGAACCCCUUUGAUAGAUACACAUAUUUCAGUACAGGUCACUAGUCUUUAUUACUCUUUACUUAGAGAGAUUAUUUUCAAAAUGGAAUCCUUAUAUUGGGCACUUGUUAAAGUAUUUAUGUGCAUUAAAGAUGAAUUUCUAAAGCUUAUGAAUAUUAUUUCCCAGAACUCCAGACUCUAAAAUAUAUUUUGAUAAAGUAGUAUUUGCAUUUAACACAAAACUCUCUUGAGUAGAAGUAUGUAAAUCAUACUAUUAGUAUUUAUCCUGCUAGAAUUCUGUUUGUGCUAAUUCUGUUUCAUUUAGAGUAUUCUUCUUUAAAGGACCAGCAUAGUAAGAGUCACAAGGUUACUUUACCUAGAUUUCUAAGAGGUGAGUGGCAUUUCCCUUCUUCAUAGAUAAAAGUGUUUGGUUUCUAGUGAAAAGCCAAUGACAUUAGCACUUAGAACUCCUUUAGUAAUUUUCUCUCAGUAUUUACAGUGAAAGGCCAGACUUGAAAAAAAAAUUAAGAAAUCUAUAUAUAUAUAUAUUUUUUAAGUCUGAAAAAGAAAGCUUUCCAUGUGGUAUUAAUACACCUUGAAUUUGUGUUGGAUCUUAAAUUAAUGAGGAGACAUUUUUUCCCAUUUACUAGAUUUGUUUUGGGUCAAAAUUAAUAUAUAAUUGUUCUUCCCAACAAAAUUUACUUACUGGUCCACAGAGCUUUGCCACACGUUAUAUUUAAUGUUACACUAGACUACAUUUUAUCUGUUCAAAUCAGAUUAAAACACAUUUAUGAUGGUCUUUAUCAAGCCACAGAUUAUACUGCUUUUCAUCAUUUACAGUAAAGGCAAAGAAUGUAAAAGUCAACUGUUAAAAUGAAUUGGUAUUGCUUUAUUAUUAUUAUAACACUUGAUCAUGUGCUUGAAAGAUAUAGAAUUGUAAACCUGUAUGUAUGUCACUAAAAGACAAAUUCCACCAUCUUUCCUCAUCAUCUGGUAUAUGAUACAUUAGGGAGUGACUUCAGUCAGCUCAGAACCAGUAAUGGAGGCUGGCUGAACCUGAUGCUCCCUGUGAUCCCAGGGAAGUUAGUUGAGUUAAUUACUGCCCUUUCUUUCAAGUCUGUCUGAUGGCAGCCUUCCAAUAAAGAGCUCUGAGUCUGAUUCAGAUGAAUUUAAUGAAUAUUAACACCACAAAAUAAAUUCAACCAAGACUUUGACUAAUUGCCCCUUCUCUUUCGCAGGUUGCCCUGUAUCUGUGGGCAGUGUAAUUUACUCACCUGCCACCCAGCCUUCAGGAGCAUUUGAAGAUUCAGUGUUGUAAUAAAAGGCUGACUGAAGCCCAAAAUUGAGUUUCUAGGCAAUUCAAAGGUUGAUAGCACUAACAGUGGGGUGCUACAGCAUAAUUGUUAAUUUACACGUCUAUUAUAAUGCUUAAAUAUUCAUUACUUUGUGUUAAAUUAACAUUCUGUAUUGAGGAGAGAGGCUUUUUAAUACAAUUCUUCUGACCUGGAAAUGGCAGGAGGUCAGACGAAUGUGGAAAUGUGGAACUCCCGCAAAAUCUGGUAGACUCCUAGGUUUCAUUUAGAUUUACAAAUUAAGAAAUAGAAUGUCCUUUGUCUGAAAGUAAAUGAGAGCUUUGAAAACAACAAGGAAUUUUGCUUUUAUGACUGGCCUUAGAGAAACAAAGCUAGUGAAGGUGGAACUACUCCUCUUUUAGCAUUUUAUGCAGGUCAUUUAGAUCCUCCCCCUUUAUAAACUGAACAUCAGGGCAUUAGUGGAUUGAUUGACGCAAUAAUAGACUUGCAAAGAGCUGACCACUUGUGACUGGAUAUGUUGUUACUGUUCUCAGACUGUUGCUUUACUAAUCAAAAGCUUGUAUUGUGUAAAUGAAUCUAUUUAUUGUGCAGAUCUAAAUUCCAGGAUAUUUCUGUUUCUGUGGGAAUAGAAAGAGUUUAUGAAAAAUACAUGGGAAAAGAUCUUUUUCAGCACAUAAUGUCUGGAAUUUUUGGUUUAUGUAUUAAACAGUUUUAGUUCUCUUCAUUUAGGAUCUAUGCUUGGAUAUAACCUUUCUUUUUAAAAAAUUCAGCUAGACUUUCCUUAGUAAUGAUUAAGUAUUACCUUAUCUUACUUAAAUAUGAUUUUAUGACAUAUCAGUACAAAUAUAAAACAGACUAAACCUUAAUAAUACUGUAACAAAACUUUGUAGAUUGCAUGUUGGUUUUAUAAAAAAUAAAGGCGUUUUUUCAAAUGA
Molecule: RNA transcript, 5457 nt
Organism: Erinaceus europaeus (western European hedgehog)
Lineage: Eukaryota; Metazoa; Chordata; Mammalia; Eulipotyphla; Erinaceidae
Gene: STON1
Gene name: stonin 1
Exons: 4
Source: RefSeq, a predicted model, not a curated record